UCUUCGUGAACAUAGCAGACUGCUCAGUAACACGUGGAUAACCUGCCCUUAGGACUGGCAUAACCCCGGGAAACUGGGGAUAAGUCCGGAUAGAUCAUAAAUGCUGGAAUGCUUUAUGAUUGAAAGGUUUCGACCGCCUUAGGAUGGAUCUGCGGCCUAUCAGGUUGUAGUGGGUGUAAUGUACCUACUAGCCUACGACGGGUACGGGUUGUGGAAGCAAGAGCCCGGAGAUGGAUUCUGAGACAUGAAUCCAGGCCCUACGGGGCGCAGCAGGCGCGAAAACUUUACAAUGCGGGAAACCGUGAUAAGGGAACACUGAGUGCUAGCAUUUAUGUUAGCUGUCCACAUGUGUAAAUAGCAUGUGAUAGCAAGGGCUGGGCAAGACCGGUGCCAGCCGCCGCGGUAACACCGGCAGCCCGAGUGGUGAUCACUAUUAUUGGGUCUAAAGGGUCCGUAGCCGGUUUAAUCAGUCUUCUGGGAAAUCUAAUCGCUUAACUAUUAGGCUUCCAGGGGAUACUGUUAGACUUGGGACCGGGAGAGGUAAGAGGUACUGCAGGGGUAGGAGUGAAAUCUUGUAAUCCCUGUGAGACCACC
RNAcentral lists this ribosomal RNA (594 nucleotides) under uncultured archaeon. RNAcentral describes it as "bacterial SSU rRNA". It matches the Rfam family "Archaeal small subunit ribosomal RNA", at positions 66 to 661 of the family's 1478-position model. The record is from RNAcentral.